AUGGAGCCCGCGGCCCCCUCCGCGUCCUCGGCCUCGGCGGCCGCGUCCUCGGCGGGGAGGCGGAGGGCGGCGCCGGAGGCCGCGGAGCUGAGGGUGCGGCGCAGGACGCUCGAGACCGUGCUCGAGCAGUGCCAGCGCGCGCUCGAGCUCAUGCGGGACGCCGAGGGGGAGGACGGGGAGGAAGGGGAGGGGGAGCGGGAUCCGGAGGACGAGGGGGAGGGCCGGGCUGGCCGAGACGUCAGCGACGGGGAGGGGCAGCCUCCGACGCCGGAGCCGUCGGAGGCCGACUACGAGACGGACGAGCUGUGUAAUCUUCUCAAAUCGAGGGUCGAAUCACCUGAAUUUCUAGAAAAGCUUGAUAACAUUCAGAAGUCAGUAUACCAACAUGGUGCAGAUGAAACCAUAUCAUGGGAUAUCGUAAGCGCAGCAGAUAUAUGGGAUGAUAAGAGUAUGAAUGUCAGUGAUGAUUCAGAGGAUGGAUAUGUUCUAGUUAAGCAAGAGGAUAUAGUUGAUGGGAUUGCAUGCUUCAUGGCUGCAUACCUACUAUCGCUGAAAGAAACUAAGGAAUUGACGCCCAAUCAACUUCAAGAAGCCCUUAGCAAGACUUUUUCAACUAAAAAGAGGAAAGGCAAACUUCAGAAGGCAUGGGCUGGAACACAAGUUAUUUAUAAUGUAGCAUCAUGGAGUGCGACAGCUAUUGGUAUCUACCAGAAUCCGGCGAUUCUAAAAGCAGCAACAGCGGCCUUCUGGACGUCCUGCCGCGUGGUGUCCAAGUUCCUGUGA
Molecule: ribosomal RNA, 783 nt
Filed under: Triticum aestivum (bread wheat)
Lineage: Eukaryota; Viridiplantae; Streptophyta; Magnoliopsida; Poales; Poaceae
Description: partial small subunit ribosomal RNA
Source: RNAcentral